UAAUAGAUUGGUUAAAACUACAUGUUAAGAA
RNAcentral lists this non-coding RNA (31 nucleotides) under Mus musculus (house mouse). The record is from RNAcentral. Lineage: Eukaryota; Metazoa; Chordata; Mammalia; Rodentia; Muridae.